UAGGGAAUCUUCGGCAAUGGGGGGAACCCUGACCGAGCAACGCCGCGUGAGUGAAGAAGGUUUUCGGAUCGUAAAGCUCUGUUGUUAAGGAAGAACGAGUGUGAGAAUGGAAAGUUCAUGCUGUGACGGUACUUAACCAGAAAGGGACGGCUAACUACGUGCCAGCAGCCGCGGUAAUACGUAGGUCCCGAGCGUUGUCCGGAUUUAUUGGGCGUAAAGCGAGCGCAGGCGGUUAGAAAAGUCUGAAGUGAAAGGCAGUGGCUCAACCAUUGUAGGCUUUGGAAACUGUUUAACUUGAGUGCAGAAGGGGAGAGUGGAAUUCCAUGUGUAGCGGUGAAUUGCGUAGAUAUAUGGUGGAACACCGGUCGCGAAAGCGGCUCUCUGGUCUGUAACUGACGCUGAGGCUCGAAAGCGUAGGGAGCGAACAGG
This 429-nucleotide ribosomal RNA is filed under the name Bacteroidota bacterium. RNAcentral describes it as "Bacteroidetes bacterium partial 16S ribosomal RNA". It matches the Rfam family "Bacterial small subunit ribosomal RNA", at positions 355 to 776 of the family's 1533-position model. The record is from RNAcentral. Lineage: Bacteria; Pseudomonadati; Bacteroidota.